RNAcentral lists this ribosomal RNA (468 nucleotides) under uncultured bacterium. RNAcentral's name for it is "partial 16S ribosomal RNA". It matches the Rfam family "Bacterial small subunit ribosomal RNA", at positions 28 to 507 of the family's 1533-position model. The record is from RNAcentral.
GACGAACGCUGGCGGCGUGCCUAACACAUGCAAGUCGAACGGACAGGCCCUGCUUUUGUGUGGUGCUCGUGUGGCGAACGGGUGAGUAACACGUGAGUAACCUGCCCUUGACAUUGGGAUAACUUCAGGGAACUGGGGCUCAUACCCGAUAGGAUCUCCUGCUGCAUGGUGUUGGUAGGAAAGUUUCGGCGGUUGGGGAUGGACUCGCGGGUUAUGAGCUUGUUUGGGGGGUAGUGGCUUACCAGGGCUGUGACGGGUAGCCGGCCUGAGAGGGUUGCCGGCGACAUUGGUACUGAGAUACGGCGCAGACGCCUACGGGAGGCAGCAGUGGAGAGUAUUGCACAAUGGGCGGAAGCCUGAUACAGAAACGCCGGGUGCGGGAUGACGGCCUUCGGGUUAAAAACAGCUGUCGCCUGUGACGAAGCGUGAGUGACGGUAAUGGGUAAAGAAGCACCGGCUAACUACGUG